UUAAUAGUAAGGCUUUAACUUAUCUAGAGGUCUCAGUGUUUGAAUUCUUAUGUCUGCAAAGUGGAAAUAUUUUUAUUUUCAUACACUAUGCUGUUCAUGUGGAUGUGGUUAGGUUAGAUUCGAAUUUUGAUCAGCUUAUUAGGAUAGCAACUAAUGGGAUUUAAUAAGAUUUUAUCUGGUUCAUAUUUAUUUUUAAAAUUUUUUUUUAGAGAAGUAUUCUCCCUAAAGUUCUCCCACGUUUCUCUCCCACUCCCCACCUUACGUCUAGCUUCCCCAUUUUCCAUUUUCUCAUUUGUUUUGUUUUGAUGAUAGCUUACUGGUAAAUUCUCUCUGAUUUCUUUCUCUCAUUUUUUUUUUUUCCAAAUUUUCUCUUCUUUCUUGCUCGUUAUUUUCUUUACUGUCCCAACUUCGGUGGUUGGCGUUUGUCCUGGUGCUGAUGUGUUCAUGUGUGGUAAAAUCACCGGGUAAGAGUAUGGCAUUUCUAUUAGUGUUGUAGUAUUUCUAUUUCUUGUCGUUAAGUUUCAUAAGGUAUUGGAAUAAUCUUUCAAGUGGUUGAAGGGUUCUAGUAUGAUCUUUUUAAUGUACUGAUAGGAGAAGAUCGGGAGAUGCGUGAAUUGUCUCUAGCGAAUUAGAGAAUUUGUUGGGCUCCUAUUCUGUUGGGUAGGUCGUUAAUGUUUCUGAUUAGGGGUUGAUUCAUUUGUUUACGCCAAAUGUUUAGCACUUGUGAUCGAAUUAGUGACUUGGAUUUAGCAUAUUAUUGAUAAUUCUAAUGUUCUAAAUAUUGAUUUUAGGUGCUGGAAUUACCGCUGUGGUGAGGGCAUCAAAAAAUGAUCAUGUGUGUAAUGAAAAUCUCGAAAAACAACAAACGACAUGAUGCCAAAAACUUAUUGUUGACGCUACACAGCUGUGUGGGCCACAUGGGUUGAGUUAAGUGGGUCGUGUGGACCACACGGGUUGGGCCAGUUAGGUCGUGUGGGCUAUAUGGGCAUGUGAGCCCAUUUUCUAUAAAUUUAGUUAGUGUAGUAUUCGAAGUUUGAUUUAAGGUUAGCCACUUUGUAGGUUCCGUAAUGUGUUUUGUUGGUCAUUAAAUUGUGAAAUAUGAUAUUCUGCUUAUGUUAUUACAAAUUCUGAAAGCAUGAUAGUAUGUUCUAAUAUGUAUAGCAUGUAUGAUAUAUAUGCAUUUGUUAUCCGAUUAGUGUUUGCAUGUGCAUUGGGAUAGGGUAAUGAUGUGACGGAUGAAGUGUGACAGUUUAAUGAUCUGCCUUAUCUGGUGGUUUUAACAACAUACCUGUUCUGGUGACUUGACCACACUUAUGUAAUUUUGGCGGUUUACUGCAUUAUUUCUGUCAGCUUGACUGCAUUAUUUUGAAAAGUAACAUAUGCUCACUUAUAGGUGUGCGAGAUUUGAUGAGUAUUUAAUUACCCUAAUUGGUGUGUAGGGAUGGGCGAAGAUGGUGUAGCGGAUGGGGGUAGGAUCUAUUUUUGUAUCUGAAUUUGAAUCUGUAUUUACAUUUGUAACUGUGCCUAAAUUUGUACUGUGACUGUAUUUGUUCUGUUCUGUUUGUUUGGGUUGAGUUACACAUUGAGCUUGUUAGCUCACCUAGACGACGUAAGGGAGCUGAGACCAAAUUCUUGGUAAUAAAAUGGUUAUUAAAAGACUUUGCCUUUUUAAUGGACUUUUUAGUCCUUUC
This 1691-nucleotide long non-coding RNA is filed under the name Gossypium barbadense (sea-island cotton). Its description in RNAcentral is "long non-coding RNA (GBAR_LNC011179)". The record is from RNAcentral. Lineage: Eukaryota; Viridiplantae; Streptophyta; Magnoliopsida; Malvales; Malvaceae.